RNAcentral lists this ribosomal RNA (447 nucleotides) under uncultured bacterium. RNAcentral describes it as "partial 16S ribosomal RNA". It matches the Rfam family "Bacterial small subunit ribosomal RNA", at positions 29 to 523 of the family's 1533-position model. The record is from RNAcentral.
AACGAACGCUGGCGGCAGGCUUAACACAUGCAAGUCGAGCGCCCCGCAAGGGGAGCGGCAGACGGGUGAGUAACGCGUGGGAAUCUACCUUUUGCUACGGAAUAACGCAGGGAAACUUGUGCUAAUACCGUAUGUGCCCUUCGGGGGAAAGAUUUAUCGGCAAAGGAUGAGCCCGCGUUGGAUUAGCUAGUUGGUGGGGUAAAGGCCUACCAAGGCGACGAUCCAUAGCUGGUCUGAGAGGAUGAUCAGCCACACUGGGACUGAGACACGGCCCAGACUCCUACGGGAGGCAGCAGUGGGGAAUCUUAGACAAUGGGCGCAAGCCUGAUCUAGCCAUGCCGCGUGAGCGAUGAAGGCCUUAGGGUUGUAAAGCUCUUUCAGGUGGGAAGAUAAUGACUGUACCACCAGAAGAAGCCCCGGCUAACUCCGUGCCAGCCGCCGCCGUAA